ACGGGUGAGUAACACGUAAGUAAUCUGCCUUUAAGAUUGGGAUAACCUUGCCAACGCGGGGCUAAUACCGGAUGUGGUCGGAUGGACGCAUGUCUGUCUGAUUAAAGGAGUGAUCCGCUUAAAGAUGAACUUGCGGCCCAUUAGUUAGUUGGCGGGGUAACGGCCCACCAAGACAGCGAUGGGUAGCCGGCCUGAGAGGGUGUACGGCCACAUUGGGACUGAGAUACGGCCCAGACUCCUACGGGAGGCAGCAGUAGGGAAUUUUGCGCAAUGGACGAAAGUCUGACGCAGCAACGCCGCGUGAGGGAUGAAGGCCUUCGGGUUGUAAACCUCUGUUGGACAGGAAAAAAAGGUAGCAAUACUUUGAUGGUACUGUCUGAGGAAGCACCGGCUAACUACGUGCCAGCAGCCGCGGUAAUACGUAGGGUGCAAGCGUUGUUCGGAAUCACUGGGCGUAAAGAGAGCGUAGGCGGGAUCGUAAGUUAGAAGUUUAAUACAUGGGCUUAACCCGUGGUCAGCUUUUAAUACUGCGGUUCUUGAGUAUGGGAGAGGGCGAUGGAAUUCCAGGUGUAGCGGUGGAAUGCGUAGA
RNAcentral lists this ribosomal RNA (589 nucleotides) under uncultured bacterium. RNAcentral's name for it is "bacterial SSU rRNA". It matches the Rfam family "Bacterial small subunit ribosomal RNA", at positions 102 to 694 of the family's 1533-position model. The record is from RNAcentral.